This is a non-coding RNA of Hordeum vulgare subsp. vulgare (domesticated barley), 115 nucleotides long. The record is from Rfam. Lineage: Eukaryota; Viridiplantae; Streptophyta; Magnoliopsida; Poales; Poaceae.
UCCAAUGAUGAUACGCCCAAUAUUUGGAGGUGCACAUGUCUCCAGAAUCCUGUUUACAUGAUGAUUCUACCUAGAGGCGUUGUAUCCACAUGACAUUCCCUGGCGAGUCUGAGGU